GAUUUCUGGUUUGAUGUACCUGUCCCGCCUCGGUAACGGGGUCGAGUGACGGAGUAUGUCUGCCAUCCUUCUAGAGAAUAUAAACUAUCCUUUACUGGACCGGUUUAUAUCAUCUAGAUCUUUUACUUUGAAAAAAUUAGAGUGUUUCAAGCAGGCUUUUGCUAUGAAUACAUUAGCAUGGAAUAAUGAGUUAGGACUUCGGUUCUAUUUUGUUGGUUUCUAGGGCUGAAGUAAUGAUUGAUAGGGACAGUUGGGGGUGCUAGUAUUCAGUGCGAAGAGGUGAAAUUCUUGGAUCCACUGAAGACUAACUUAUGCGAAAGCAUU
RNAcentral lists this ribosomal RNA (324 nucleotides) under Allapsidae sp. Its description in RNAcentral is "SSU rRNA". The stretch from base 59 to 324 matches the Rfam family "Eukaryotic small subunit ribosomal RNA", at positions 688 to 955 of the family's 1831-position model. The record is from RNAcentral. Lineage: Eukaryota; Cercozoa; Glissomonadida; Viridiraptoridae.